UACGUAGGGGGCAAGCGUUGUCCGGAAUUAUUGGGCGUAAAGAGCGUGUAGGCGGCUCGGUAAGUCCGCUGUAAAAGUCCAGGGCUCAACCCUGGAAAGCCGGUGGAAACUGUCGAGCUAGAGUCCGGAAGAGGCGAGUGGAAUUCCUGGUGUAGCGGUGAAAUGCGCAGAUAUCAGGAGGAACACCAAUGGCGAAGGCAGCUCGCUGGGACGGUACUGACGCUGAGACGCGAAAGCGUGGGGAGCAAACAGG
This 253-nucleotide ribosomal RNA is filed under the name uncultured bacterium. RNAcentral describes it as "partial 16S ribosomal RNA". It matches the Rfam family "Bacterial small subunit ribosomal RNA", at positions 524 to 776 of the family's 1533-position model. The record is from RNAcentral.